Molecule: transfer RNA, 65 nt
Filed under: Toxeutes macleayi
Lineage: Eukaryota; Metazoa; Arthropoda; Insecta; Coleoptera; Cerambycidae
Description: tRNA-Gly
Source: RNAcentral
AUUUAUAUAAUAUAAAAAUUAUAUUUGAUUUCCAAUCAGAAAACCUAGAUACUCUAGUAUAAAUA